RNAcentral lists this long non-coding RNA (4661 nucleotides) under Sus scrofa (pig). RNAcentral describes it as "lncRNA (ENSSSCG00000056366.1)". The record is from RNAcentral. Lineage: Eukaryota; Metazoa; Chordata; Mammalia; Artiodactyla; Suidae.
CAAAAAAGGUCUGGGCUCACUAAAAUUAUUCCUUUGAUAUGCAGCUCAGCUACCAGGGCCAGUAUCCUGUGUUUUCACAGCCCGAGUUCCCUCAGGACGCCCCUUGCCCCUCUGGCUCACCUUUGAAAUUGGCUUUAUUCACAGAUGGCUGUGACAUCCUUUGUUUUGCCCACUUAACCACAGCCCCAGGUGGCUGAAAUAUUUCCGGUCUGAAAUACUGCCCCCAAAGGCACAGGGCAAUAACAUCAAGUGUAUAUGAUGAAGGUGAAGGGGGAGGUGCAUGCAGCCGUGCACACAUUUCACAGAAGUUUGUUGCUGGUCUUGUGAAGGUUACUACUAUACUAAUCAUGAGAGUCAUGAGGAGCAGACAUCACCACGAAGUAUUUUAGUGCUGGUUUUUUUGUUGUUUUGUUUUUUUUUCCUAGAUGGGAGGGGAUGUAAGAAUUGGGUACAUAAAAUCUUCCCCUAAAAAAUAUCUGACUAUCUGAAGAUCUGAUCUUCCAGUUUUCCCAGAGUUCAGCACUAGUGCCUCACUCCUGAUCUCCACCGUGAGCUCUGCUCAGGGGGUGCUGGAGUGGGCAGCUGCAGGGGUUCACGAUUCAAUUCAUGCAGAGGCAGAUGGCUAGUGGUAGCAAGUGCCAAACUCCAGUUCCCAAUGAUAUCUAUUUAUUUGUUUACUUCCUAGACAAGAUUGUCAGCUCCAGAGUUUGGGUCACUGCUUUGUCCUGUGUUUCAAAGAGAGCUUGGCAUGCAAGGAGGCUCACCAAAUACUGGUUUGGACGAAUUCUGCAUUUAAAUGUUUGCAGUUGUUCACGCCAGCCAACAUUUUCCACGGAUCAGAUUCCAUGUCCAGUGAGUCAAAAUUAUAAGAGAAAAGCAACAGGAUCUAAAUACUCUGUUCACUUGAGGCUCUCCCCGCCCCCCCACUCAGCAUGUGGCCGACAUCAAUGCUGCCCUCAAGGUACUGAGGUACUGAUUUUCUUCCUUUGGGGCGAAGCGUCAGAUUGUACAUCCUUAUCUCCUGAAGAUAGGUGUGGCCAUAGACUUGGGGCUUGGCCAGUGAAUGGUGAGUGGCAGGGACACGUGUCACGUCCAGCUGGAAGACUCUCAGAGUUAUCGCGAGACUUUACAGCUUUGAAGUUGGCUUUGUUCACAGAUGUUAAAGUGGAAAAAGCAAAACAAAGGAUGUCACUGGGGGAACCACAGUGGUGAGGUGUGAGGUCCAGGCAAUGCUGGUUUGUCAGCUUGGUCCUGAAGGGAGGAGGGCAGGGACUGGGGCUCCCCUCAGCCUGAGCUGGAUGUGGAGCAGGAGGCAGGACCAAGCUUCACGCUGUUAGGUCACUGAGAUUUUACAGUUGUUACCUGAUCGACUAGUACAAGUCACACAUUUCGUCUCAUUUAAUUUUUACAUUAUCCAUAGGAAGCAGUCAUUUCUUAUUCUUACCAUGGAGGGAACUGAUCUUCCAGAGGUUAAGGUCACUGAAAAUCACACAGCUAUAAGGAGGAGGAACUGAAAUUCAAACCCAAUUCUGGCUCAUUCCAUAAGCUUUUACACAUAAGCUUGUCCAGCUUUUCAGUAUGUGAUUGAACAUGUGUGUUAGAGUCCAUCUGGGCAAAAACAUGCUCAUAAGACCUUCAAUGGCCUCAUUCAAAAUGGGAGAGCCAUUGAAAAAAAUCCUUUCCCAAUCCAGCAACAUGUCAGCAAGCGAGGGCGAGGCUGAUCAGAACUGUGGGUGUCAUGUUUUCUCUGACAGCACAUACAACAAAUUAAAUAUUAAAACCCAGUUGAAGGUGAUUUGGGUUUGUUGGCUUUGGAAGAAGGCUAGAAAUACUUCCCACUUGGGUAAGAUAUUUAUUCCACCCAUCUCCAUUCAGGGAUUUUGAAAGCACUCGUGGCUUUGCCCCAAAACAAAAUAGACCAAAAAAAAAAAAAGCCUGAUAACCCUAUUUUAGGAGGUCUGGGUUGUUCUCUCCCUCUGUGUUACAAGCCACUCUCCGAAGGUCAUGGGAGGUCACAGACCAGGGCAAAGGGCAUUAGGAAUAUUCCUUAGAUGCAUGCAAUGCAUGUGGCUCCAGACUUCAGAGCCACCUGUAAAUGAAAAGGCAGCACAGAACUGGGGGGGAUGGGGGUGGAGGGUGGCGGCCAGUAACACUCCUCUUCCUAAGAUCCCGUGAUCGAUGACACCCUCUUUUUUUUUUUCAGUCAGAGGAGUUGGGGCCUGUUGUCAUGGUUGGGUUCUGGUUUGACAGUGGUUUUUCUAUAUUUCUCUUUAGAUCAGUCAUGAUUUGAAUUCACUUUGCAGUUAGGGAAGGAGGGCGCCUUCCUCUUUACUGCAUGUAAGACUAUCUAGGCAAACAGCAAAUUCUCCACCCAUGAAGAAAACUACUUUUCUACAUUUGGGAUGAUACAGUCAUUUCAUUUGUGGGAAAAAACAUGCUGUAAUGAAUUUAUUUCGGCCAUAGUGUGUGUUUAUUUAUAUCAGUCACAAUGUGUGUAUGAAUUUAAGUACCCAUAUUAUAUCCACAUAUAUAUAUAAUGGAGUCAGAAUAUGAAUUAGAAUUAUAUAUAUUAUAUAAUUAGAAGAAUGCUGAGUCCCUUCUGGUGGGAUCAUGUGGUUUGAUCUUGAUUAGGAACAAGUUGACAUGUGAAUGAUUUUUUUUCAAAUUUACUUAAAAAAAUUUUUUUUAUUUUAUGGCUAUACCCAUGGCAUAUGGAAGAUCGUGGUCCAGCGACUGAAUCUAAGCCACAGAUGUGAUCUAAACCUUAGCAGUGGCAACACCAGAUCCUUUAACCCAUUGCACUGGGCCAGGGAUCAAACCCAUACCUCUGCAGCAACCCAAGCCACUACUGUUGGAUUCUUAAUCCACUUCACCAAAGCAGGAACUCCAUGGAUGAUUUUUCAUUUUACUCAUAUCUCAAGGCUGAAAAGGAUAAGAACAGGCAGAGUUCCCCAGGUAAAAGGGUCAGAGUGUGGCCUUUUAAAGACUAGUCUCAGGAGUUCCCGUCGUGGCUCAGUGGUAAUGAGCCUGACUACUAUCCAUGAGAAUGCGGGUUCAGUCCCUAGGCCUUGCUCAGUGGGUUAAGGAUCCCACAUUGCUAUGGCUGUGGUGUCGGCUGGCCGCUAUAGCUCCCUAGCCUGGGAACUUCCAUAUACCGCAGGUGUGGCUCUAAAAAGACCCAAAAAAACAAAAGACUAGUUUCUCACAAUGUUAGUGAAUUUCACAUUGAUUAACACAGGGACUCUUACAAACUGGGUUUCCAUUUCCCUCUCAGGUGGAACUUGCAAAAUGCAGGUUAGUCUUGUAGCUGCAGACUACCUCUUUAUUGAAAUGGAAGAGGCCUGUUAGGAAGAGGUCUGUGUGGAACAUUUCUGGACCCAUGAAGGAAGGGCAUUCUGGACUGAUCGUCCUAAAAAUGAUGUCAGAUGAUCUGGGGUUCCAGAGAGCUCUGUUGGAUUUCGUGAGCACCAAAGAAGAGCCUUGCCUCUGCUAACAAAUCUCACUCUGAAAAAAGCUAGUUCAAGGAAGCCAUGAGGACAAAGGAAACUGUGGGCACUAAUGAAAAGCCCAGAGAAGAGAAAAGUCAGUAAUCAGAGCCACACAGCCUGUGUGGCUCCAAGCAUCUCUGUGGUCAGGAAUCAGGUGGCUUUAUUGAACAUGUGUCAAUCUACACACCAGGGCUGCGAGAGGGUGUUGGCAUAGAGUAGAGACAGUGGCAGAGAGAUGGAUGUAGUUCUUGCCAAACUGUGUGACUGAGUUAAGUUAAAAAGAUGGAAAGACCUGUCCUCUGGGUGGGACGUUGUGGCUUUGCUUCAAAGGCAAGAAAGGGGCUGAGGUUGGGAAGAGGUAACAGUCCUGAAGCCUUGAGGUGACUGGAGAACUUUAGUGAUCCCAUGGCAAGUCUUGUGAAUCAUACGGUGUCCGUCUCCCCAAAAGAUAUGUUCAAGUCCUAGCCCCAUUCAAGGUACCUGUGAAUGUGACCUUAUUUAGAAAUGGGGUCUUUGCAUUUGUAAUCAAGUUAAGAUGAGAUCCUGUUGGAAGAACAUGGCUCUAAUUCGGUAACUCCCAUCCUUAUGCAAAAGAGGGAAGGGGACCGUGUGGUGAUAGAGAUGGAGAUUGGAAUGAUGCUGUCAAGAGUGUCAAGGAUUUCUGGCAGCCACCAGAGGCUAGGAAGAAGCAUGGGAGGAUUCUUCCUUGGAAGCUUGGGGAUGUGGGGGUUGGGGGGAUAUGGCCCUGCCUACCACAUGGAUUUCAGACCUCUGGCCUCCAAACUGUGAGAGAAUAAACUUCUAUUGUUAUAAGCCACUCAAUUUGCCAUGUUGGUGUGGCAGCCUAGGAAAUGAGGACAGUGAGCAAAGAGCCAUUGGCUUCAGGGUCAGAGCAGAGGGAGAAGGUGAGCAGAACUUGGCCUAUGGAGUUCCCGUCGUGGCGCAGUGGUUAACGAAUCUGACUAGGAAUCAUGAGGUUUCGGGUUCGAUCCCUGGCUUUGCUCAGUAGGUUAAGAAUCCGGCGUUGCCGUGAGCUGUGGUGUAGGUUGUAAACGGCUCAGAUCCUGCGUUGCUGUGGCUCUGGCGUAGGCUGGUGACUACAGCUCCAAUUAGACCCCUAGCCUGGGAACCUCCAUAUGCCACAGGAAGUAGCCCUAGAAAAGGCAAAAAGAC